Molecule: long non-coding RNA, 591 nt
Organism: Diorhabda carinulata
Lineage: Eukaryota; Metazoa; Arthropoda; Insecta; Coleoptera; Chrysomelidae
Exons: 3
Source: RefSeq, a predicted model, not a curated record
CAGUGAAUAUGAACUACGGGAGACUGCCAGAGCAUGUUUUAUUACGUUUUUCAAUAGUAAACAGAAAAAUUUUGGAAUAAAAGUAUACUAAACAGUAAUAAAUUAGUCGUCAAAAAUAAAUGUGACGAUUUAAUACUUACUACAAUUUUAUAAUUAUCUUGAACAAAAUCUUUUUUAUCAGAAAUAAUUGGAGGCUCUAAAUUUGCCAAAACACAACAAAUAUGCAAAAUAUCGUCAAUGCAGUGGAACAAAUGUCGUGGAAUUUUAUGCAAUAUAUGGAAACGUAGACCUCCCUGACUAAUCGAUCUAUUAGAAAAAAUGUUAUUUUGAUGAUUUCUACGUCAUUUAGGAAGUGAGGAAGGACUUUAUCGUGCAUGAACAACAUGUCUUUGCGAAUGUUUAGAGGAAAAUUAUUUUGGAAAAAAUCGGUGACCAUUCAGGUUAUCAAAAAAUAUGUAUUAAUUUAUUACCCACAAGCGAAAUGAACUGAUAGAUAAAUUAUUUAAAAGCCUCCCCUGGACUUGUAACAGUCUCAUCUUGCUAAAAUUUAUUAUGAUGUAAGUACCUCGUUUAAAUAAAAUAUAUUUUUUC